Molecule: small nuclear RNA, 138 nt
Filed under: Fukomys damarensis (Damara mole-rat)
Lineage: Eukaryota; Metazoa; Chordata; Mammalia; Rodentia; Bathyergidae
Description: U2 spliceosomal RNA
Rfam family: U2 spliceosomal RNA
About the family: U2 is a small nuclear RNA (snRNA) component of the spliceosome (involved in pre-mRNA splicing). Complementary binding between U2 snRNA (in an area lying towards the 5' end but 3' to hairpin I) and the branchpoint sequence (BPS) of the intron results the bulging out of an unpaired adenosine, on the BPS, which initiates a nucleophilic attack at the intronic 5' splice site, thus starting the first of two transesterification reactions that mediate splicing.
Source: Rfam by way of RNAcentral
AUCGCUUCUUGGCCUUUUGGCUAAGAUCAAGUGUAGCAUAUAUGAUGCUAAAUUUCUUAUUUGCUUCUAAUUUUAACUUAAAGUGUGAGUUUUAUUUUAGUACAGUAUUACAUGGCAUUACUUGUCUGAAAUCUCCUU